RNAcentral lists this unclassified non-coding RNA (641 nucleotides) under Hevea brasiliensis (rubber tree). Lineage: Eukaryota; Viridiplantae; Streptophyta; Magnoliopsida; Malpighiales; Euphorbiaceae. The record is from RNAcentral.
GGAGUUUGAAGAGAAGAAGACUGAGCUUCAACCCAAAGUUGUUGAAAUUUAUGAAGCUGCUGCAGUUGAGAUCAAGAGCUUAGUGAAGGAACCAAAGGGUGCAGGGCUGAAGAAAAACUCAGAUGGGGUUCAGAAAUUCCUUGAUGACCUUGUCAAGAUUGAAUUUCCGGGAUCAAAAGCUGUUAGCGAAGCAAGUUCAAACUUUGGGCCUUCCUAUGUAUCGGGCCCAAUUAUUUUUGUGUUCGAAAAAGUUUCCACUUUCAUAGUCACAGAAGAUAAGAAGGAAGAGGAACCCGCGGCUGCUGAUGACGUGCAUGCACCAGCCGCCACGUCAACUGAAGAGGUGGAGGUGAAGGUGAAGGAGAAGGAGAAGGAGAUAGUUAUUGAGUCUGGAGAACCAAACAAGGAAGAAGCACCUGCUACUGUUGUUGCUGACGUGGCACCUGCAACUAAGGUGGAAGAAGCACCAAAGGUGGUUUAAUCAUCGUAUACGUCUAAAAAUUUGCAUCUUUAUCUUCUUCUUUUUUUUAAUGUGUCAUGGUUAUUUACUGUGAGAAAAACUUGAUUUAUUAUUCUUUUGUUAGUGUUUCUCUCCUUGUUUAUUUUCUUUGUACCAUAUUAUCUCAUCAACAAAGUCUUUG